GGGAGUGUGGUGGAAUGGUAUACACUGGAGACUUAAAAUCUCCCGCCUUCGGGAUUGAGGGUUCGAGUCCCUCCUCUCCUACCA
Molecule: transfer RNA, 84 nt
Filed under: Aeromonas phage 31
Lineage: Duplodnaviria; Heunggongvirae; Uroviricota; Caudoviricetes; Pantevenvirales; Straboviridae
Description: Aeromonas virus 31 tRNA-Leu
Rfam family: tRNA
About the family: Transfer RNA (tRNA) molecules are approximately 80 nucleotides in length. Their secondary structure includes four short double-helical elements and three loops (D, anti-codon, and T loops).
Source: RNAcentral